Gallus gallus (chicken) is the source of this 481-nucleotide long non-coding RNA. Lineage: Eukaryota; Metazoa; Chordata; Aves; Galliformes; Phasianidae. The record is from Ensembl.
CUUUACAGCCCGAAGCCAUAUGGAAGCAGAAAUGAGUUGGGUCCAUUGCCUUUUGUUCUGUAACUGGGCUUCACUGAGAAGAGUCUGGCUCCCUCUUCAUCCCGUACCCUGUGCUAACUAAAGCCACAAACCAGAUGUUCUGGAGGGGGCUUUCUGGCUGGAUGAGUUCCUAAGGAUGGUUCAGAGUCAGCCACCUGUGCUCCAGGAACCCUUGGUAACAAACUAUAGAGGAAAGAUGUAUAUACUAAAUGACAAGGAGAUGAAUGCUGAAGUUUCCAUGUGCAUUCAAGUGUUUGGUGUUUCUACUCUUCUUCCAUUUGAGAAGACCAUAUAUAUGAUAUUGCUGCCAUUAUAAUGACAUUCUUCAACAAGGAAGAUGCGUCUUUUUAUGGGCAUUGGCACCAUUUACAGGAUCCACAUUUAUGCAAGUCUGUUCUGUAUUUCAUUUAAAUAAAGCCUCCAUAAAAGCUUUGAUCAUUAA